RNAcentral lists this ribosomal RNA (466 nucleotides) under uncultured bacterium. RNAcentral's name for it is "bacterial SSU rRNA". It matches the Rfam family "Bacterial small subunit ribosomal RNA", at positions 29 to 529 of the family's 1533-position model. The record is from RNAcentral.
AACGAACGCUGGCGGCAUGCCUAACACAUGCAAGUCGAACGAAGGCUUCGGCCUUAGUGGCGCACGGGUGCGUAACGCGUGGGAAUCUGCCCUUGGGUUCGGAAUAACUCAGAGAAAUUUGAGCUAAUACCGGAUGAUGACGUAAGUCCAAAGAUUUAUCGCCCAAGGAUGAGCCCGCGUAAGAUUAGCUAGUUGGUGGGGUAAAGGCCUACCAAGGCGACGAUCUUUAGCUGGUCUGAGAGGAUGAUCAGCCACACUGGGACUGAGACACGGCCCAGACUCCUACGGGAGGCAGCAGUGGGGGAAUAUUGGACAAUGGGCGGAAAGACCUGAUCCAGCAAUGCCGCGUGAGUGAUGAAGGCCUUAGGGUUGUAAAGACUCUUUUACCUAGGGAGUGAUAAUGACGGUACCGUGGAGGAAUAAAGCUCCGGCUAACUCCGUGCCAGCAGCCGCGGUAAGUGUCGAU